UCAGAAGCAUUUUUAUUCAAUUUUUUGAAAAAACAUGUCCAAGAGCAAAGCAAAGACAGUCUGAGGUAACUUGGCUCAUAACUCCACUUCUAGUGCUCAGAACGAGUUGAUUUUUGUUUUAAAAGAUUCUUUGGAGUGUUCUUAAGGUUUCGUUGAAGAAAUCAUGAAAUUCCAUGCAUCAGAAGCAUUUUUAUCCAAUUUUUUGGAAAACAUGUCCAAGAGCAAAGACAGUCUGAGGUAACUUGGCUCAUAACUCCACUUCUAGUGCUCAGAUCGAGUUGAUUUUUGUUUUAAAAGAUUCUUUGGAGUGUUCUUAAGGUUUCGUUGAAGGAAUCACGAAAUUCCAUGCAUCAGAAGCAUUUUUAUUCAAUUUUUUGGAAACCAUGUCCAAGAGCAAAGACAGUCUGAGGUAACUUGGCUCAUAACUCCACUUCUAGUGCUCAGAAUGAGUUGAUUUUUGUUUUAAAAGAUUCUUUAGAGUGUUCUUAAGGUUUCGUUGAAGAAAUCAUGAAAUUCCAUUCAUCAGAAGCAUUUUUAUUCAAUUUUUUGGAAAAACAUGUCCAAGAGCAAAGACAGUCUGAGGUAACUUGUCUCAUAACUCCACUUCUAGUGCUCAGAUCGAGUUGAUUUUUGUUUUAAAAGAUUCUUUGGAGUGUUCUUAAGCUUUCAUUGGAGAAAUCAUGAAAUUCCAUGCAUCAGAAGCAUUUUUAUUCAAUUUUUUGGAAAAACAUGUCCAAGAGCAAAGACAGUCUGAGGUAACUUGGCUCAUAACUCCACUUCUAGUGCUCAGAACGAGUUGAUUUUUGUUUUAAAAGAUUCUUUGGAGUGUUCUUAAGGUUUCGUUGAAGAAAUCAUGAAAUUCCAUGCAUCAGAAGCAUUUUUAUCCAAUUUUUUGGAAAACAUGUCCAAGAGCAAAGACAGUCUGAGGUAACUUGGCUCAUAACUCCACUUCUAGUGCUCAGAUCGAGUUGAUUUUUGUUUUAAAAGAUUCUUUGGAGUGUUCUUAAGGUUUCGUUGAAGGAAUCACGAAAUUCCAUGCAUCAGAAGCAUUUUUAUUCAAUUUUUUGGAAACCAUGUCCAAGAGCAAAGACAGUCUGAGGUAACUUGGCUCAUAACUCCACUUCUAGUGCUCAGAAUGAGUUGAUUUUUGUUUUAAAAGAUUCUUUAGAGUGUUCUUAAGGUUUCGUUGAAGAAAUCAUGAAAUUCCAUUCAUCAGAAGCAUUUUUAUUCAAUUUUUUGGAAAAACAUGUCCAAGAGCAAAGACAGUCUGAGGUAACUUGUCUCAUAACUCCACUUCUAGUGCUCAGAUCGAGUUGAUUUUUGUUUUAAAAGAUUCUUUGGAGUGUUCUUAAGCUUUCAUUGAAGAAAUUAUGAAAUUCCAUGCAUCAGAAGCAUUUUUAUUCAAUUUUUUGGAAAAACAUGUCCAAGAGCAAAGACAGUCUGAGGUAACUUGUCUCAUAACUCCACUUCUAGUGCUCAGAUCGAGUUGAUUUUUGUUUUAAAAGAUUCUUUGGAGUGUUCUUAAGCUUUCAUUGAAGAAAUUAUGAAAUUCCAUGCAUCAGAAGCAUUUUUAUUCAAUUUUUUGGAAAAACAUGUCCAAGAGCAAAGACAGUCUGAGGUAACUUGUCUCAUAACUCCACUUCUAGUGCUCAGAUCGAGUUGAUUUUUGUUUUAAAAGAUUCUUUGGAGUGUUCUUAAGCUUUCAUUGAAGAAAUCAUGAAAUUCCAUGCAUCAGAAGCAUUUUUAUUCAAUUUUUUGGAAAACGUGUCCAAGAGCAAAGACAGUCUAAGGUAACUUGGCUCAUAACUCCACUUCUAGUGCUCAGAAUGAGUUGAUUUUUGUUUUAAAAGAUUCUUUAGAGUGUUCUUAAGGUUUCGUUGAAGAAAUCAUGAAAUUCCAUUCAUCAGAAGCAUUUUUAUUCAAUUUUUUGGAAAAACAUGUCCAAGAGCAAAGACAGUCUGAGGUAACUUGUCUCAUAACUCCACUUCUAGUGCUCAGAUCGAGUUGAUUUUUGUU
This 2016-nucleotide long non-coding RNA is filed under the name Anthonomus grandis grandis. RNAcentral describes it as "uncharacterized LOC126747873". Lineage: Eukaryota; Metazoa; Arthropoda; Insecta; Coleoptera; Curculionidae. The record is from RNAcentral.